GCUGUCGCAAAAUCGGCAGCCGGGCGUAGGAACCCGUGUUUAACUAUGGCGACACCGGACGCGCCUUGCGUCUUUUUU
This 78-nucleotide small RNA is filed under the name Citrobacter gillenii. Its description in RNAcentral is "isrK Hfq binding RNA". It matches the Rfam family "isrK Hfq binding RNA". Lineage: Bacteria; Pseudomonadati; Pseudomonadota; Gammaproteobacteria; Enterobacterales; Enterobacteriaceae. RNAcentral also lists the same sequence under 2 other names. The record is from RNAcentral.